UCUGUUCCAUAAAUCAUGGCUACAUACCAAAUCAGGAGCACCCAGAAACCGAUCACGUUUUCCCACUCAGAGAUCGAAGCAACUCAUUCAACUCAGCAACGGAGAUUCUGAAGAGGAUCACCACAGUAGCAACAACAGCUGCAGUUAUAGUGUGGUGCAAGGGAAACCGCGUCAGAGCAAGGUCGAUUCCGGUGGAGAUGUUUCCUCCGUCGCAGAAACCACCGUGGACUCCCAAGAUGAAAGCUUUGCUACCACCACCGAGAGGUACUGUGUGUAAAAGAUUUGUAUAGCGUUACAGAGCCUGUUCCUACAGCGAAAGCCAAGAAGAAAAGGAGCGUUGAUCAAAAAAGGAGUUUGUUCUCAGUUUUUAGCUGUUACUAAGGAUUAUAGAACACUGCUUCUUUUGAGUGCUAUCAGAGAUUCACCCAUGUAAUCUAUUCUUCUGCUCUUUCACAGUUUCUACGAUUUGGGUUCGUCAAGGAGCGCUGAUGAACAGGAUUGGAUUCAAUGUGAAGAACCUAAAUCGCCCAACAAUCCCCAAUCGCAACUUCUGAGCAAAUUUCCCUAAAUUAAUCCCAAAUUAUCCUAAUUUCAUCUUUUAAUUUAAUCCUAAAUAUUUUAAUUUACACGUCACAAUUUUUUAUUUUUUUAAAACACAUAACAAUGCCACAUCAUCAAAUAAUAGCCACCUGGCAGCUCUGCCGUUAACAAAGUUAAUGUCGUUACCAAAAAGGACCUAUUUGUUCAGUUUUUGCAAAAGCUGAGACGUAAGUGAAUUUUUUAAAAAAGGAAGGACCACUUUGAACAAACCCUCCCAAAGGAGGGACCAAAAUAGGUAUUAAACCAUAAAUUUUUUUAAUAACUUGAAACUUAAUUAAGUAUUUAAAAUUUUACAGAAAAAAUACAAAAACGGUAUAAAACAGUCUUUUUUUUUAUUAAAAAUUGCGGUCAACAAAUUAACGUACAGUCAAACGUAUAUUGAUAAACCGAACCUCUUAUGAGGUAGACCACUCAUCUACAUAAUACAUCCAUUAACACACAACAGAGACACCCAUCACCCUUUUUCUUGUCUCACCAUCUUAUUAAUAUCUUCAUCACUCUCUUUACUCAUUAAUUAUUAUACUCAGAACCAACAAACACUUUCCUCCAUAAUUUCCCACCAAACUCACCUCUAUCUCUAUUUUCUUCUAUUAUAAUUAUUACCAAAAAUAUCAACUAAUUAAAAAUUCUCUUCAAAACUACUAUUAAACUUUUUAUGAUAAAUUCACUCUCAUUUUCACAAUAAUUAAGUUGAUUUUAAUCAUGUAUCAUAUGUUGCUCUCUCUGUCACACUCUAUCUAUAUUUAUACCUCAGUAUUGGGUUUAACAAGAGAAAGUGUUUAACAAGAGAAAGUGUUUGUAGUGACCUAGCAAAGAAAAGAAAAUGGAUCACAAAAACUAUGAAUCAUCAUCAAUUUCUUCAACUUCUAUGAGAGAUCAGUAUCUGAAACAACUCAACAAGCUUUCACAUAACAUUUCCAAACCCAACGUUAAGAAACCCACCUUCGAUUCUCUCCCCGAUUCUCAGCCACAGGUGUACAACAUCAGCAAGAACGAUUUCAGGGACAUGGUCCAAAAGCUUACCGGUUCGCCCGGUCACAGCCACCAACCCAAACCGCUUGCAACCUCUCGCCUCCACCGCCUCCGCCCGCCGCCGCUUCCGCAAGUUCUCAGCCACCGUCCGCCGCCUCACCCCGUCGCCGCAGCGCCUCCCUCGCCUCUACCGCCGUUUCCCAGUGUCCACGCGGAGUCCCCUGUCUCGGCGUACAUGCGGUUUCUGCGGAACUCGAUGCCGUCGUCUUCUUCGCAGUCGGAGUUUCAGAUACCGGCUUCGCCGGUAAGUUUCGGAUGCUUGAAUUCGGUUUCCUUUGUUCCUCUGUCACCGACUAUGCCGGUUUCCAGCAGAGAUCCUUGAGACUUGUGUUUGUUGUGGUGAGUUACCGUAGUUUAAUAAAAUUUGUAAUUUCGUUAGAUUUCUAAGAAGGAACGGUUGGACUUAAAAGUAGUAAUUUAUUGGGGGAAAGAGUUAAAUUGAGGAUUAUUUUUAUAUUAAAGCAUGAUUUAGCUUAGAUUAAUGAGCUAAUCUUGCUUAAAAAGUUAUGAAGAUGACAAUUUAUAAAUAAAAUUUAGUCUUUUUAACUAUCAAAACCUAUUCAUCGAUACAUAUUAAUAUGACAUGAAAUGAUUGCGUAUUACUUGAUUAAGAAACACAAUACAUUACCAUUUUUGUCAUGUGAUAUUAGUUAAAGAUGAUUAUUUGUAUUACGACAUUAAGGUAUUUACAAUUUUUAGGUAUUUUCUUGCCG
Molecule: long non-coding RNA, 2345 nt
Filed under: Vigna radiata
Lineage: Eukaryota; Viridiplantae; Streptophyta; Magnoliopsida; Fabales; Fabaceae
Description: long non-coding RNA (VRAD_LNC013211)
Source: RNAcentral